RNAcentral lists this ribosomal RNA (419 nucleotides) under uncultured Gammaproteobacteria bacterium. RNAcentral describes it as "bacterial SSU rRNA". It matches the Rfam family "Bacterial small subunit ribosomal RNA", at positions 9 to 425 of the family's 1533-position model. The record is from RNAcentral. Lineage: Bacteria; Pseudomonadati; Pseudomonadota; Gammaproteobacteria.
GAGUUUGAUCUUGGCUCAGAUUGAACGCUGGCGGCAUGCCUAACACAUGCAAGUCGAACGGCAGCGCGGGGUAGCAAUACCCUGGCGGCGAGUGGCGGACGGGUGAGGAAUACAUCGGGAUCUACCCUCUGGUGGGGGAUAACGCACCGAAAGGUGCGCUAAUACCGCAUGAGACCGGAAGGUGAAAGCGGAGGACCCGCAAGGGCUUCGCGCGAGAGGAUGAACCGAUGUCCGAUUAGCUAGUUGGUAGGGUAAAGGCCUACCAAGGCGACGACGGGUAGCCGGCCUGAGAGGGCGACCGGCCACACUGGGACUGAGACACGGCCCAGACUCCUACGGGAGGCAGCAGUGGGGAAUAUUGCGCAAUGGGCGAAAGCCUGACGCAGCGACGCCGCGUGGGGGAUGAAGGCCUUCGGUUG